Molecule: long non-coding RNA, 714 nt
Organism: Psammomys obesus (fat sand rat)
Lineage: Eukaryota; Metazoa; Chordata; Mammalia; Rodentia; Muridae
Exons: 4
Source: RefSeq, a predicted model, not a curated record
CACAGUGGUCGAGCGGGAGACCCUCGCUGUGGACCGAAAGCUGCCCUGUACCUGUACCUGUCUACACGGACUCGUGGGAAACGGUCACCGUAAAUCAGUCCCUCAGCUGUGCCCUCACAGCGAUAAAACUCUGCUUGAAGUAUUCCGGUCCCUACUCUACGCCCUGCCCUGGCUUUUGAGAGUUGGUGUCAGACGACCCACACAGAAAAGUCCCGGUCGAUUGCUGCAACUUUUCUUCUGUGGCUGGCUGCGUGGUGCUAGUGCCGUAAUCAUCCACGCACGGUGCUUGGAUUUAAGCCGCGCUGUUUUUAAAGCACUCUGCUGGGUGGUCAGAAACGCUGGAGUCCAGCUCGGAUGGCAGAUUAUCAAUGGCUACAAUAAAACGGAGCCUUAUGAGAGGAUCGAUACGAUGUUAUAAGAAGAACCAGAAAGGGCUACUGUUGCAGUGAGCUGGGUUCGGUGUCUUGGAAGAGGCGGGCCAAAAAGGGCUUCUCACUGGCCUGGAAGUCAUGAAGGAGGCUAAGCUAGCUGGCCAGCAAGACUCAAAGAUCCACUGUCUCUGCUUCCCCAGUGCUGGAUGGAGAGUUCCCAGCCUUCUUCCAAAAGCCUCGAUCUCAUCCGUUGACGGUCCAGGUUUCGCUCACCGGGCACAGCACUGUGGUUGCAGCUGUGGUUGGCCAUUCCUGCGUCUGGGAAUCUGAAGUCAGGUCCUCG